Molecule: non-coding RNA, 1823 nt
Organism: Vicugna pacos (alpaca)
Lineage: Eukaryota; Metazoa; Chordata; Mammalia; Artiodactyla; Camelidae
Source: RefSeq, a predicted model, not a curated record
AGUUCAGAAGUGUGCUCUUCUGUUCUGCUUUUCUUAAAAUUUAAAUUUCUUAGAGAUACUAAGAGAAGGCAUUGGUCAAAGGAGUGUUUGGCGUUGAGGGAGGAUUUUUUUUAUUUUUAAAGAUGUGACGGACGUGAGUAGUUUAAAGGCUGAUGAGAAGGAGAGAGCAGAGAAGUUAAAAAUCACAGACCAGUUAGAAAGCGGAGCUGGCCGUGAGCGUCCCAGGGUGUGUAUCUUAGAGUUCUUAGUGCCUCCCCGUAGGCCUACUUUGUUCUUAAUUGCUGUAUCACUGUUUACUUGAGCUGUUUCUGGGAUGCAGUUAAGACUUCUCAGAAACAGUGUGAUCCUUUUGAGGCUUGCUUUUGAGUUUUGUAAGGUGAGGUCAGAUCAGCCUUUAGGUAGGGCUGUUUUCUCCACACUGCCCAGGGGGGUGCCUGUGUGAAUGAUCCCCUCUGGCCCGUGUGUUCCACCGAGGCUGGUGGGAACAGCAGCUCCAGGUGAGCUUUCAGAUCGUCCCUCCUGCUCGUUCUGCUGGUCCUUCCUGCGCCCUUGGGCAGCUUUAUUGUGUUUUUGUCCUGAUCAGUUCUCAGUGGGAGACUCAGAGGGAGGGUUCAGAAUAGUCUCUGUAGCUCUUCUGUCUCCCACACUCUGCCCUGUGAGCACUCACCUCUCAGGCCCCUCCCAGUUCCCAUCGGGGCUCCACAGUGCGAGACUGACAGCCUUUGCCCGGGGCUCCCCUCCCUGUAGGGCAGUUCCUGGGCUCCCCUCGUUUUCCCCCUCUCUCAAGAAUUAGUGUCCUGCUGCCUGAAAACUGUUAUUUCAUAGGUUUUGGUCAGUGUUUGAGUUGCUGAAAGUUGGAGAGUAAAUCCAGUACCUGGUGUACUGUUUUUCUCAAGUUGAAGUUUGCCCACUAUUUAUUAUGAACUUUUUGUCUACUUUCUAAAGUAUAUUUUGUUAAGUUGGCCUCUUUCCGGUACCAGUUAUCGUCAGAAAAAAGGGCCCCGGUAUCCUCCUGCCCUCUUCACUGCUCACCCUUUCCUGUCUCUUGGAAGGUAGUUUUAUAGUGACAUCUCCCUGCCUGCUUCUUCCACACACAUCCAGUCAACUCGUGCAGACGUUCAGAGAUCCUGAAUCUUGGUUCUGUUAGGUGGAUAUUUGAUGCAAUCACCCAGCCGGCUGGCAGAGCGAUUCAGUCCUGGUGAGGAGUCUGCAUCCACCUCUUUCCUGACUGCCUCUCCUGAAUCGACGUGAGCUGGAGCCCCAGCAGCAGUACUGCCAUACCUUCUUACUUUCAAGUCUUCUUUCUCUUUAUACUUAAAGUGCAUUUUUUAUCGAUAGCAUAUAGUCACGGUCUUGUUUUUUAUCAAGUCAACAAUCUGUCUUUUAAUUGGCAUGUUUAGACUGUUUACAUUUAAUAUAGUAAUUGAUUUGAUUUGGUUCAAGUGUACCUUCCUGCUGUUUGUUUUUUAUUUGCUGCAUCUAUCCUAUGUGCCAUUUUUUCCUUUUCCUGCCUUCUUUUAGAUUAUUUAAUAGUGUUCCUUUUUAUCAUUACCACUGGCUUAUUCUAUAUACAUGCAUAGGUGUUUCUUUUUUUUCUUCUUCUUUCUGUGAUUGCCCUCAGGUUUACAGCAUGCAUUGGUAUCUUAACACAUUCUAACCUCAAAUAAUAUGACAGCACUUCACAUAUAAGAACUCUGUAAUGGUAUACUUCUAUAUUUCCCUCCUGUCCUUUGUGCUAUUUUUUGUUGUACAUUUUAUUUCUCAGUAUUAUAAAACCCACAAUACACUGUUUUUCUUGUUUCAAGAGACAGUUAUCUUUUUUA